UUCUUUUGAUGGGGCAUAUAGUAAAUUAUGUGGCAACGGGCAGAAUCUUAGCUAGCCGAGACAGGGGUAAGCGGUAGGGCGAGAGCGAGUCCUUCAGUUAGGGUGGAUAUCACACAGGUGCUGCAUGGCUUUGGUCAAAUCGUGUCGUGAGAUGUUGGUUUAAGUCCCGCAACGAGCGCAACCCUCGCCCUUAGUUGCCAACAGUUCGGCUGGGCACUCUAGGGGAACCGCCGGUGACAAGCCGGAGGAAGGCGGGGAUGACGUCAAGUCCUCAUGGCCCUUACGGGGUGGGCUACACACGUGCUACAAUGGCGGCGACAAUGGGUUGAUCCCCAAAAGCCGUCUCAGUUCGGAUUGUUCUCUGCAACUCGAGAGCAUGAAGUCGGAAUCGCUAGUAAUCGCGUAACAGCAUGACGCGGUGAAUACGUUCCCGGGCCUUGUACACUCCGG
RNAcentral lists this ribosomal RNA (450 nucleotides) under uncultured bacterium. Its description in RNAcentral is "bacterial SSU rRNA". It matches the Rfam family "Bacterial small subunit ribosomal RNA", at positions 924 to 1393 of the family's 1533-position model. The record is from RNAcentral.